This 528-nucleotide ribosomal RNA is filed under the name uncultured Entrophospora. RNAcentral's name for it is "SSU rRNA". It matches the Rfam family "Eukaryotic small subunit ribosomal RNA", at positions 571 to 1092 of the family's 1831-position model. The record is from RNAcentral. Lineage: Eukaryota; Fungi; Glomeromycota; Glomeromycetes; Entrophosporales; Entrophosporaceae.
CAAGCCGCGGUAAUUCCAGCUCCAAUAGCGUAUAUUAAAGUUGUUGCAGUUAAAAAGCUCGUAGUUGAAUUUCGGGAUUGACGUGAUGGUCAUGCCUUAAGGGGUAUGAACUGUUACUGUUGAUUUCUCACCUUCUGGAGAAACUUGAUGUCCUUUAUUGGGUGUCUUGCGGAUCCAGGACCUUUACCUUGAAAAAAUUAGAGUGUUUAAAGCAGGCAUUUUUGCUCGACUACAUUAGCAUGGAAUAAUAGAAUAGGACGGCAUGGUUCUAUUUUGUUGGUUUCUAGGAUCACCAUAAUGAUUAAUAGGGAUAGUUGGGGGCAUUAGUAUUCAAUUGUCAGAGGUGAAAUUCUUGGAUUUAUUGAAGACUAACUACUGCGAAAGCAUUUGCCAAGGAUGUUUUCAUUAAUCAAGAACGAAAGUUAGGGGAUCGAAGACGAUCAGAUACCGUCGUAGUCUUAACCAUAAACUAUGCCGACUAGGAAUCAGACGAUGUUAAUUUUUUAAUGACUCGUUUGGCACCUUACG